UGCAAGUCGAGCGAUGAACACCUUCGGGUGUGAAUUAGCGGCGAACGGGUGAGGAACACGUGAAGAAUCUGCCUUCAACUCUGGGAUAACUCCGGGAAACCGGGGCUAAUACCGGAUAUGAGCCUCGAUCGCAUGAUUGGGGCUGGAAAGUUUUUCGGUUGAAGAUGACUUCGCGGCCUAUCAGCUUGUUGGUGAGGUAAUGGCUCACCAAGGCGACGACGGGUAGCCGGCCUGAGAGGGCGACCGGCCGCACUGGGACUGAGACACGGCCCAGACUCCUACGGGAGGCAGCAGUGGGGAAUAUUGGGCAAUGGAGGAAACUCUGACCCAGCGACGCCSCGUGAGGGAUGAAGGCCUUCGGGUUGUAAACCUCUUUCAGUAGGGAAGAAGCGAAAGUGACGGUACCUACAGAAGAAGCACCGGCUAACUAUGUGCCAGCAGCCGCGGUAAUACAUAGGGUGCAAGCGUUGUCCGGAAUUAUUGGGCGUAAAGAGCUCGUAGGUGGUUCGAUACGUCGGAUGUGAAAAUCAGGGGCUCAACCCCUGACCUGCAUCCGAUACGGUCGAGCUAGAGUUUGGUAGGGGAGACUGGAAUUCCUGGUGUAGCGGUGGAAUGCGCAGAUAUCAGGAGGAACACCGAUGGCGAAGGCAGGUCUCUGGGCCAAUACUGACACUGAGGAGCGAAAGCGUGGGGAGCGAACAGGAUUAGAUACCCUGGUAGUCCA
Molecule: ribosomal RNA, 724 nt
Filed under: uncultured bacterium
Lineage: Bacteria
Description: bacterial SSU rRNA
Rfam family: Bacterial small subunit ribosomal RNA
Source: RNAcentral